GAGACUUUAGCUAAAUCCUGUCACUAGCAUUUGUGCCUUGAUUUAGUUUAAGUUUCUCAUAAGUCAGAGGUCUUGUGUUCGAAUCCUGAGGGCGUUAUAGAAAUCUGUGAGAAGUCAGAUAGGUUUAGACUCUCACGGAGCGGAAGUACAUGAGAAAACAACUUGGGUACGAGGCCUGGGUUGUUACAAAAAAUGUUAUACAAUACGAAAUAAAAAAUAUUAAUCAUCCAAAUUCAAUCUAUAUAUUAAUGUUAUAGUCAUCCAAAUUGCAGAUCCAAUAUGAAUUUUUUUUUUUUGAAAGGGAAUCAAAUAUUUUAUUAACUAAUGCAUAAUACACGGGAAGUGUAUUAUCAAUUUAAAGCAGAAAGGAACAACAUAAAAUUGUGCAGCCCAUCUAUAUGCCUAGUAGCUGCAGCAUUAAACCACGUAUACAAUGUGAAAUAAAACAUCUCUAAUUUGCUCUGCUGUCCGUGUUUGAUUAUCAAAGCAGCAGCUAUUUCUUUCUCCCCACAUACACCAUACAAUGUAACCCGGAAUAAGGUCCCAUGCAAGCUUGCAAUCCUUGUCUCGAAAUUUUCUCCUCCAUGCCUUUAACACGUCUUCCAUACGCCUCGGCAUCACCUAAUCCAUGUGUUGUGAUGCCAAAAUAUUGUGUCACAGUAAACGAGCAGCAUCACAAUGGAAAAACAAGUGAUCAAUCGUCUCCCCGUCCCUCCGACACUUAUAACACCACUCUGUAAUAUAAAAACAUCUUGUUCGUAGAUUAUCCAUCGUUAACACCUGUCCUCUGACCACUGUCCAAAGUAAGAAUGCAACCCGUGGAGGCAAUUUACAUUUCCACACCGAUUUCCAAGGGAAUGAACUCUGCACAGGACCCAAUAAAGAUCUAAAAUAAGUGCCAACUGAGAAAAUCCCAUCCCGUGUCAAUCUCCACCUACUACAGUUUGCCUCUCCUGUCUUGAUGCGGACCUUGUACAAAGAAGUCAAAAAUAGCGCAUAAUCGUCAAAUUCCCAAUCCUGUAAUCUCUGGCCAAAAACAAUAUUCCAACUGAUCCUCCCAUUAUGUAUAUCUAAGAAUCACUCACCGUAGUAGACGGUGUAAACACAAUACGAGAUAAAGAGGGAAAUUUCACCUUCAGCGGUUGUUCUCCAGACCAAUAAUCAUCCCAAAAACUGAUGGUAGUACCAUUCCUCACUGCAAAAGUCAAUUUUGGGAGCACACCAAGACCUCCACUAUUUUAAUGCUUAAAGAACUAUGAAAAUAUCAAGGAUCACAAAAUUCUAAAGCAAAAAUAGACACUUGUAUUGCCAACAUAUCUCUGGCUUGUUUGGACAAGAUACUAUAUUUAUUUAAGUUAAAAUUCUACCUAUUAAGAUUCUACCGAAGAUCAAAAUAAUUGUUCUCUAUGCUUUUACGAGCGUCUAAAAAGUAUGUCUACAUUUUUUUAUCUAAGCACUAUCUUUUGCUCCAUGUUUUUCCAUAAACCUAGAAAGACGAGUAUAACUCAUAGAAGAAGAAAAUUGCCUUUACGAGAAUUAAAAUAAUUGAUACUUGACUGCUUUAGAAACUCCUUCGCGUCCCUUGUAUCAGCUCUUAUUCCUUUCCUUCAUAUGUUGCUUUUCUUCGCUUUUGGGAGGUUAGGUUUAUGUUCCCCUUCCUCUUGUUCUUGUGAGUUUGAUUUUAUAUAUACGGUUGGAGAAUCCAAAUCCCCAUCAGUGUUCCCUGAUGGAGCUUUAAAACCCACUGAGGUUGUGUUAGUGUUUUCCUUAGAAGAAAAAAGAAGAAGCCAUAAUUGAUCAAUCACAACUUGAAUUGAUCCUCCGAAUGUCAAUUAUAACAGACAAAAAACAAAAUUAACCAAUUAAACUAAAUAAAAUAUGAAGGCCUAUUUUUCAAAAUUUCAAAAUAAAUACAAAUUGUAGAAGGGUAGGUAUAAAAGCUCAUUUUUGACCAAUUUAUCAGGAAUAAGAUAUAAUUUGCUGUCGUUUCAUAGUUUUGACUCUUGUUUACUCCUUUAUAUUUAAGAUAAUUGUUCUCUGUUUAUUAGAGAUUUUUAUUGAUAUGUUGAGAAAUUCACUGGUAGGGUGCACAGUUCACUUUUUUUGCCCGUGGUUUGCACGAAUAACCAUUUCAUACAAGUAAAAGCUGCAAUUGCCUUCUGCUUGAUUUUGUCGCUUUUAAUCAAAUCUCCUGGAUGUGCAUUUUAAGAUGGCAGUGACUAUCUUAAUGCGCAUGGGAAUUAAAGAUUCUGCUGCUCCCCUUUUGACUUUUCUCCCUUAAUCAGUUUAGGACCCCGCCUACCCCCAUUCACAAUUAUGGCUUUGUUAUCAUUCCAGAAACAUUUGAGAAUCUUGUAUAUAUAGAGGCAUCAAAAUGAACCUUCUGAAUAUUAAUGCUCUUCUUUAGGCACAUUGUAUGUGGUAAUCCUGUCUUAUCUGCUUUUGAAAGAUCAGAAGAGUCUAUGCAGUAUCCUCUACGAUGGUCUGUGUAUGGAAACACAGACAAAUGCUCCUGUGCAAUCAAAGAAAGAAGAUAGGUAAUUCAUCUUCACAUUUUGAAGGUUAAUUCCUAAAGCAAUGAAAGUAAAUAAACUUUGGGAAUCGAUAGAUGUUUUCACUCUUUUUUUUUUCCAUCACGUGCUAGAUACUUGUGUCUUUUCUACUGUGAUAAUCCAUGUUUUCCGUUAGCAACUCCCCAACUGUGCCAACCCAAAAAAAUAAAAAAUAAAAUAAAUAAUGGAAAAACGAAACAAUAGGUACAGAAUUGAACAGACUAAAUGUGCAGUUGGCAGAUAGUUUGAUGUAAUACUCAAGGAGGUGCAGAUUGCAUUGGAGACUUGACAAAAUAUGAACUUUUUUAAAGUGUGAAAUUCUAAAGUAGGUAUAAAUUUACUUUCUCUUGGUAGUUUCUAGAUUUUUAAAUUAGGAAAGUUUUUACUUGAUAUUUUGAUAAAUUCUAAUUGUAGGGAUUUUAGGUAUGAAGAUUUUCUCUGAAUUUUUUGAUUCUUCUCUCUUUUUCUCUCAGGGUAUUGAAGAAGGAACCAAAAAACCUGUAGCAAGAACCUUGUGAACCACACGAACGUGAUCAUAAAAUUAGAUAAAAAAAAUAAAUAAAUAUUAGAUAAAAUUUGUUAACAUUCAUGAACUAUGCAUUUUUAAAAUUGAAUACGAUAAUUUGGAGUUACAGUCGUUAUGACUUGAAUAAGCAAGAGUACCUAUCUGCCAGCUGCAAUUGGUAAAAUAGUUUUUGAUGUGUAAAGGUCCACAAGUAAUUUCAUGGACGAUAUAGCAUGAUUAGUAGUAAGUACCAAAGUCUAUCUGGUAUGGAGACACCAGUUUCCCAUAGCUCUUUGCAAUGCAUGAGGCUGAAAAGAGUUUCUAUCUUUUAAUUUUGUGAGACAACUAAUGAUUCAAAUUUGUAACUUUGAGAGAUAAGUAUGAAGCAGCUAACAUGACAGAUAAAUACAUAUUGUAAAAGAAUAUGGAACUUCUAUCGUAUUAAGUUAUUAACUCAUUGGUGCAAUAACUUGUGGGCUUUUCUAUAAUUAUAAAGCUGGAAAGAGAUUGUUCUUUUUUCAUUCUUGUGUAGUUUGGCCCCAGUUGGACAGAUCUGUCUUUAACCGAGAAAAAUCCCAGGCUGGUUUAGUACGCAAAUUGAUUGAAUUUAAAUGCAGUCUCUUGGAGGGAGAUCUAGUACAUUCCUAUGGAAAAUCGAAGACAAUUGGUAUCAAAACCCAUCUUGAAUCAGGUAUAGUUCUGUUCAUGCAACUCAGUACGAGUAAAUAGAAUGCCUAACUGACAGUAUAAGGGUCGGUUUUACGUGAACUUUUGAUUUAUUAUCGUGCAGUUGUACCUUAAUUAUUCCCCUAAAAGAAAAACAAUUUCCAAAUGAUGGAAUCUGGUUGAUGAUCAUGUUUAAGUUCUUAAGAGUUGAGAAAAUUCCCUUUCUUCAGUCCACAAUAACAAGUGUUUUUAAGGGGUCAGAGCCUCUUGACAUGCAUGGGUAAAAAAAGAGUCUGGGCAGAAAGCUGCUUGCAGAAUAUUUGGUCAGUUUCAUUCUGGAUGCUGAGAAAUUCAAAAGCUCGAUGUUGACUGCUUGGAAUUCUAUUGUAUACUGAAUACAAACUUUUGCCACAAGGCAAUACUUGUCUGUAGUGAACAAGAGUUUCAGAUUGAUAAACCAUAAACAACUGAGCAGCUUUGCUACAAAUUGAGUUGUUGCAUCUAACUUAGCACUAUUCUUAAUUUCCCCUUAAUUUCAUUAGUGAUACAAGCCCCUUUUAUGUUCUGCGGUAGAAAUGUUCAUACCAACACAAGAAAUGCACUAAAAAAGCAAGUUACAUUUACUGAGAAAGAGAAGGGAAGUUUCUCGAUUCCUUUACAGUGCGCUGCAUCAAGUUAUUCAGAUAUGGGAAUAUCAGUAGCUGAUUUCUUUAAAACAUCAGUUGGAAGUAAACGACAGCAUUUUCUUUACAAGAGCAUACGACCGGGAGCAGAUUUCAUUCAUCACGCGGGAAGUCUUUGUCUGAGGGGUUUCCAAGAAAUGAACCCCGAGUCUUUCUCAGGAUGAAAUACCCAAAUUCUUUUUGUAUUAUGAGAUAGCUAGUCAAGAACCAAACUUGGCGAGCUUGACCCAUCUACACCAUUGUAGCUACAAUAUUAUUUUAUGCAUCUAUGUUUCAAGAUUGGUAGUAUUCAU
This 4699-nucleotide long non-coding RNA is filed under the name Olea europaea subsp. europaea. Lineage: Eukaryota; Viridiplantae; Streptophyta; Magnoliopsida; Lamiales; Oleaceae. The record is from RNAcentral.